This 427-nucleotide ribosomal RNA is filed under the name uncultured bacterium. Its description in RNAcentral is "partial 16S ribosomal RNA". It matches the Rfam family "Bacterial small subunit ribosomal RNA", at positions 355 to 774 of the family's 1533-position model. The record is from RNAcentral.
UGGGGAAUAUUGGACAAUGGGGGCAACCCUGAUCCAGCCAUGCCGCGUGUGUGAAGAAGGCCUUUUGGUUGUAAAGCACUUUAAGCAGUGAAGAAGACUCCAUGGUUAAUACCCAUGGACGAUGACAUUAGCUGCAGAAUAAGCACCAGCUAACUCUGUGUCAGCAGCCGCGGUAAUACAGAGGGGGCAAGCGUUAAUCGGAAUUACUGGGCGUAAAGCGAGCGUAGGUGGCUUGAUAAGUCAGAUGUGAAAGCCCCGGGCUUAACCUGGGAACGGCAUCUGAUACUGUUAGGCUAGAGUAGGUGAGAGGAAGGUAGAAUUCCAGGUGUAGCGGUGAAAUGCGUAGAGAUCUGGAGGAAUACCGAUGGCGAAGGCAGCCUUCUGGCAUCAUACUGACACUGAGGUUCGAAAGCGUGGGUAGCAAACA